Camelina sativa (false flax) is the source of this 367-nucleotide long non-coding RNA. RefSeq lists it as uncharacterized. NCBI's taxonomy places the organism in Eukaryota, Viridiplantae, Streptophyta, Magnoliopsida, Brassicales, Brassicaceae. The record is from RefSeq and is a predicted model, not a curated record.
UGUCGUCUUUACUCUUUUCGUCAUCGAAGAAUAGUUUCAUCUUGAUUGAGGAAGAAACUCGACAUACAUCCAUCGACGAUUCGGGAAACCCAAGCAGCAGUCUAAUCUUAACGAGCCGAGAUUCGCAUUUCGGCUUUUCAUUUGGAGGUACUCUUCACAGUCACUUGGCUCCACCGUUGGAUAUUUUGAUGAACCGUAGCAUCAAGGAUGCUCUUAUUGCAGAGUAAAAGUUCUUUCUUAGUCGCCCUGUAAGACUGCUUCAUUCUUUCUAUUUGCUUUCUCAGUGUUACAUUGACUGAUCUGACACAGGAUUAUUGGUAUAGCUGUCCACUAGCUUAAAAUCGGUCUCACUGAUCGUUUGGGUGUU